Molecule: ribosomal RNA, 494 nt
Filed under: uncultured bacterium
Lineage: Bacteria
Description: bacterial SSU rRNA
Rfam family: Bacterial small subunit ribosomal RNA
Source: RNAcentral
AAGGAAUUGACGGGGGCCCGCACAAGCGGUGGAUGAUGUGGAUUAAUUCGAUGCAACGCGAAAAACCUUACCUGCUCUUGACAUGUACGGAACUUGCCAGAGAUGGCUUGGUGCCCGAAAGGGAGCCGUAACACAGGUGAUGCAUGGCUGUCGUCAGCUCGUGUCGUGAGAUGUUGGGUUAAGUCCCGCAACGAGCGCAACCCUUGUCAUUAGUUGCCAUCAUUUAGUUGGGCACUGUAAUGAGACUUCCGGUGACAAACCGGAGGAAGGUGGGGAUGACGUCAAGUCAUCAUGGCCAUUAUGAGCAGGGCUUCACACGUCAUACAAUGGUCGGUACAGAGGGUUGCCAAACCGCGAGGUGGAGUUAAUCUCUUAAAGCCGAUCGUAGUCCGGGUUGGAGUCUGCAACUAGAGUCCAUGAAGUCGGAAUCGCUAGUAAUCGCAGGUCAGCAUACUGCGGUGAAUACGUUCACUGGGCCUUGUAGAUCACCGCCC